CCUGAAACUCAGGCAAAAGCAAUCAGCCCUGGAUUCCCAGGUCUCUCCACUCAGUGAUCAGCACUGAACAUAGACCACACCAUGGAUUUGGGGCUGAUGUGGCUUUUCUUUGUUGCUCUUUUAAAAGGUGUCCAGUGUGAAGUGCAGCUGGUGGAGUCUGGGGGUGGCCUGAUACAGCCUGGGGGAUCCCUGAGACUCUCCUGUGCAGCCUCUGGAUUCACAUUCAGUAACUCCUGGAUGAACUGGAUCAGACAAGCUCCUGGGAAGGGGCUGGAAUGGAUUGGAGAAAUUAACAAAGAUAGCAGUUCAAUCAACUAUGCACCAUCUCUGAAGGACCGAUUCACCAUCUCCAGAGACAAUGCCAAGAACACUCUGUACCUGCAAAUGAGCAGUGUGAGAUCUGAGGACACUGCCACUUAUUACUGUGGUAGAUACACAGUGAAAGGACUUAAGUGUAAACACAGACAUAAACCUCACUGUGAGGCUGCUCAGGGCCACCAGGGGGCGCACAGCACACAGAAAACAGGUUCAGCCCAGGAGUUUAUGCAGACCAGUUAG
Non-coding RNA from Peromyscus maniculatus bairdii (prairie deer mouse), 558 nucleotides. The record is from the annotation of a RefSeq genome assembly. Lineage: Eukaryota; Metazoa; Chordata; Mammalia; Rodentia; Cricetidae.